This 221-nucleotide long non-coding RNA is filed under the name Lonchura striata (white-rumped munia). RNAcentral describes it as "domestica (Bengalese finch) lncRNA (ENSLSDG00000001224.1)". The record is from RNAcentral. Lineage: Eukaryota; Metazoa; Chordata; Aves; Passeriformes; Estrildidae.
GCAGCAGGGAGAGGGAGAGAGGAGGAGGAAGGAGAGGAGGAGGAAGAGCAGGAGCAGGGCAGGCAGCAGCAGACGUGACGCCGGCAGCUUCAACUAUGAUCAGUGCAUAAAUCUACCUGCAACACAGGAUGUUGGAAAAUUACCGAGAGACAGCAACGUCCUCCCUGCUGCUUGUUGAGAAAAGAAGGAUGCACCUUCAGUUUAAACCCUGGGCUUGGUGA